UACGAAGGGGGCUAGCGUUGCUCGGAAUCACUGGGCGUAAAGCGCACGUAGGCGGAUUGCUAAGUCAGGGGUGAAAUCCUGGAGCUCAACUCCAGAACUGCCUUUGAUACUGGCGGUCUUGAGUCCGGGAGAGGUGAGUGGAACUGCGAGUGUAGAGGUGAAAUUCGUAGAUAUUCGCAAGAACACCAGUGGCGAAGGCGGCUCACUGGCCCGGUACUGACGCUGAGGUGCGAAAGCGUGGGGAGCAAACAGGG
This 254-nucleotide ribosomal RNA is filed under the name uncultured bacterium. Its description in RNAcentral is "partial 16S ribosomal RNA". It matches the Rfam family "Bacterial small subunit ribosomal RNA", at positions 524 to 777 of the family's 1533-position model. The record is from RNAcentral.